Rhinolophus ferrumequinum (greater horseshoe bat) is the source of this 563-nucleotide long non-coding RNA. RefSeq lists it as uncharacterized. The transcript is spliced from 3 exons. The record is from RefSeq and is a predicted model, not a curated record. Lineage: Eukaryota; Metazoa; Chordata; Mammalia; Chiroptera; Rhinolophidae.
UAGAAUUGCAGAUAGAGAAGACCACGCUGAUGUCACAAAACCGGAAAAACACUGGCCGGCACCUGCUGCAGACACUUCCAGUCUUUUUUUCCACGUGCAUUUUGUUUUACUAAAAAAUGAGACCAUUUUGUAUAUACUGCUUUGCAUCUUACUUUUCUCACCGAUGAACAUUUUCCCAUGUGGACGAUUACAUUCUGUGACAAUUAAUAGCUGAGCAGUAUUUCAUCCUAUGGUUAUUCCUUCACUUAUCAAGCCUAUCUUAAGGAUAUCUGGGCACUUUCCAAAUGCAUAUGUUUUUUUAGGAUACAUUCCCAUACGUGGUGGUAUCUCAAAGUUAAAGGGUGUGCAAAUUUUAAGACAUCAUUGGUGCAUAGUACAGAAGCCACACACAGGCGCACAUGCACUCGCUGUCACAAAUGCCAACAAGCUGCACGCUGAGGGGCAGCUCCCCAGAUGAGGACACUGAGACUCAAUGACAGCAGUGACUUGGCCAAAGUGACCGCAGGACUGUUUCGGGAAGAGGGACCUGAGCCUGAAUCUGGGAGGCAAUCAGCACACACAUG